Cervus elaphus (red deer) is the source of this 399-nucleotide long non-coding RNA. RefSeq lists it as uncharacterized. The record is from RefSeq and is a predicted model, not a curated record. Lineage: Eukaryota; Metazoa; Chordata; Mammalia; Artiodactyla; Cervidae. The transcript is spliced from 3 exons.
ACUGCACUUGGCACCAGAACACUCUCAUCAGCUGAAGUUCUACAUAGAAAGGCUGGGCUGGCAGUGGGAGAGCAGCUUUCCUGAGAAGGGUAUCCCAGUGAAACCCUGGGAUCUCCAUGGUAAGAUUUGGACACCACUCUCUUGCAGCCAAAGUAUUGGAGCUUCAGCUUCAGCAUCAGUCCUUCCAAUGAACAUUCAGAGUUUAUUUCCUUUAGGAUUGACUGCUUUGAUCUCUUUGCUGUCCAAGAGACCUUCAAGAGUCUUCUUCAGCACCACAAUUUGAAAGCAUCAAUUCUUUGGUACUCAGCCUUCUUUAUGGUCUAACUCUCGCAUCCGUACACAACUACUGGAGAAACGAUAACUUUGACUGGAUGGACCUUUAUUGGCAAAGUGACGUCU